AGGCUUUGAUCCUGGCUCAGAUUGAACGCUAGCGGGAUGCUUUACACAUGCAAGUCGAACGGCAGCGCGGACUUCGGUCUGGCGGCGAGUGGCGAACGGGUGAGUAAUGUAUCGGAACGUGCCCAGUAGCGGGGGAUAACUACUCGAAAGAGUAGCUAAUACCGCAUACGCCCUACGGGGGAAAGGGGGGGAUCUUCGGACCUCUCACUAUUGGAGCGGCCGAUAUCGGAUUAGCUAGUUGGUGGGGUAAAGGCCUACCAAGGCUGCGAUCCGUAGCUGGUUUGAGAGGAUGAUCAGCCACACUGGGACUGAGACACGGCCCAGACUCCUACGGGAGGCAGCAGUGGGGAAUUUUCCGCAAUGGGCGAAAGCCUGACGGAGCAACGCCGCGUGAGGGACGAAGGCCUCUGGGCUGUAAACCUCUUUUCUACAAGGAAGAAGAUCUGACGGUACUUGAGGAAUAAGCCACGGCUAUAUCCG
RNAcentral lists this ribosomal RNA (480 nucleotides) under uncultured Alcaligenaceae bacterium. RNAcentral's name for it is "bacterial SSU rRNA". It matches the Rfam family "Bacterial small subunit ribosomal RNA", at positions 8 to 505 of the family's 1533-position model. Lineage: Bacteria; Pseudomonadati; Pseudomonadota; Betaproteobacteria; Burkholderiales; Alcaligenaceae. The record is from RNAcentral.